CGGAGUAUAGCAUAUAUAAUGCUUUUUACUUACACUAAAAAUAAAGUCAAACAACUUGCUUCGC
RNAcentral lists this transfer RNA (64 nucleotides) under Amynthas habereri. Its description in RNAcentral is "tRNA-Val". Lineage: Eukaryota; Metazoa; Annelida; Clitellata; Crassiclitellata; Megascolecidae. The record is from RNAcentral.